Molecule: long non-coding RNA, 617 nt
Organism: Choloepus didactylus (southern two-toed sloth)
Lineage: Eukaryota; Metazoa; Chordata; Mammalia; Pilosa; Megalonychidae
Exons: 4
Source: RefSeq, a predicted model, not a curated record
UUUCCUCUUCAUCUUUGAAAUGAUGAAGAAAACUGUUUGCUGUGCAUGCCAGUUAGUAGGGUGGUGAGUGCUGCAUUGAGGAGGCCUUACUGCCAGGUGCAAAUAGAGCUUGAAAUUUCCUGCCACCUCUGUGCUCAAGGUGCCAGUACCAUCAGGGCAACAGGGAGCCCGUUGGAAAUGCAGAACCUCUGGCCCCAAGCAGACCAAUUCAAUCUCUGUCUGCAUUUUAAUGAAUCUUGGGAGAAAUGCAUGCACAUUAGAGAUUGAGAAGCAGUGACUGAGCCCAGCCUUGGCAAUUAGAAUCACCUGCAAGUCUCUCUGGGUAAAGGAAGUGGAGAUUUGAUUUAUACUCUGCAUACUUCUUAAUCAGAUCAACUGUUCCAGAAAGUUGUCCUGGCUUUGCAGCUGCACCAUGACAGCCUUUUGCUAGACAAAGCAUCAACGCUACAUGCCAUUGGGAGAACUAAACUGAUCUGAUGUGAGUUGUGGAGACUCCAGGAUUUCCACCUGAAGGAGUUUAGAAGCAUCAACCUGAUAGAAGUAAAGCCCAGCUUUCUUCUCUUCAGAUACAGCACUCGAAGAGUCCAACAGUCAGCCAAGAGAUGGGACCCCAGAGA